This 72-nucleotide transfer RNA is filed under the name Paramuricea clavata. It matches the Rfam family "tRNA". From Rfam's summary of the family: Transfer RNA (tRNA) molecules are approximately 80 nucleotides in length. Lineage: Eukaryota; Metazoa; Cnidaria; Anthozoa; Malacalcyonacea; Plexauridae. The record is from Rfam by way of RNAcentral.
GACUCGAUGGCUCAAUAGGUAGAGCGGCGGUCUAGAUACCCGAAGAUGCGAGUUCAAAUCCCGCUCGAGCCA